This 1328-nucleotide ribosomal RNA is filed under the name Compsidolon bipunctatum. RNAcentral's name for it is "partial large subunit ribosomal RNA". It matches the Rfam family "Eukaryotic large subunit ribosomal RNA", at positions 685 to 1872 of the family's 3401-position model. Lineage: Eukaryota; Metazoa; Arthropoda; Insecta; Hemiptera; Miridae. The record is from RNAcentral.
CGCGAGUCAUUGGGUCAUGAAACCCAAAGGCGAAAUGAAAGUGAAGGGAACUUUACGUUUCUGAGGGAUGAUGAGUCGGUUACCCGCAAGGGGCUGCUCCGCACUCCCGGGGCGUCUCUUUCUCAUUGCGAGUGGAGGCGCACCUAGAGCGUACACGCUGAUACCCGAAAGAUGGUGAACUAUGCCUGGCCAGGACGAAGCCAGGGGAAACCCUGGUGGAGGUCCGCAGCGAUUCUGACGUGCAAAUCGAUCGUCGGAGCUGGGUAUAGGGGCGAAAGACCAAUCGAACCAUCUAGUAGCUGGUUCCCUCCGAAGUUUCCCUCAGGAUAGCUUGCGCUCAUGCGAAAGAGUCUCAUCCGGUAGAGCGAAUGAUUAGAGGCCUUGGGGUCGAAACGACCUCAACCUAUUCUCAAACUCCAAAUAGAUGAGAACUCCGGCUUUCUUGAACUUUGUUUUUGAAGCCGGGGGCUCGGAUCAGAGUGCCAAGUGGGCCAAUUUUGGUAAGCAGAACUGGCGCUGUGGGAUGAACCAAACGUCGAGUUAAGGCGCCUAAAUCGACGCUCAUGUGAAACCAUGAAAGGCGUUGGUUGCUUAAGACAGCAGGACGGUGGCCAUGGAAGUCGGAAUCCGCUAAGGAGUGUGUAACAACUCACCUGCCGAAGCAACUAGCCCUGAAAAUGGAUGGCGCUGUAGCGUCGUGCCUAUACUCGACCGUCAACGGCAAAGAUGACUGGCGGGCAACUGUCGGUCGUUAAGCCUUGACGAGUAGGAGGGCCGCGGCGACGUGCGUAGAAGGGUCUGGGCGUGAGCCUGCCUGGAGCCGUCGUCGGUGCAGAUCUUGGUGGUAGUAGCAAAUACUCCAGCGAGGCCCUGGAGGACUGAUGUGGAGAAGGGUUUCUUGUGAACAGCUGUUGCACAAGAGUCAGUCGGUCCUAAGCCCUAGGAGAAAUCCGAAGCGAUGGGUUGCCGUGAAUUUAAAGAAAGCACCAUUGUGUAUUAAAAWAGCUGGCACCCGUUUGGGCGAAAGGGAAUCCGGUUCCUAUUCCGGAACCUGGCAGUGGAACCGUUCCAAUUCGGGCCCUCUGAGGACUCGUCAGGGCAACCUGAAUAGUCCCGGAGACGCCGACAGGAGAUUGGGGGAGAGUUGUCUCUUCUCUAUAAGCGAUCGAGUUCCCUGGAAACUUCUAGCAAGGAGAUAGGGUUUGGAUCGCGAAGAGCACUGCAGUUACGGCAGUGUCCCAAUCUUCCUCUCGGACCUUGAAAAUCCGGGUGAGGGCCACGAGGAACCCCACGCCAGACCGUACCCAUAUCCGCAGCAGGUCUCCAAG